RNAcentral lists this ribosomal RNA (335 nucleotides) under uncultured Nitrospira sp. Its description in RNAcentral is "bacterial SSU rRNA". It matches the Rfam family "Bacterial small subunit ribosomal RNA", at positions 335 to 672 of the family's 1533-position model. The record is from RNAcentral. Lineage: Bacteria; Pseudomonadati; Nitrospirota; Nitrospiria; Nitrospirales; Nitrospiraceae.
ACUCCUACGGGAGGCAGCAGUAAGGAAUAUUGCGCAAUGGGCGAAAGCCUGACGCAGCGACGCCGCGUGGGGGAUGAAGGUCUUCGGAUUGUAAACCCCUUUCAGGAGGGAAGAUGGAGCGAGCAAUCGUUCGGACGGUACCUCCAGAAGCAGCCACGGCCAACUUCGUGCCAGCAGCCGCGGUAAUACGAAGGUGGCAAGCGUUGUUCGGAUUCACUGGGCGUACAGGGUGUGUAGGCGGUUUGGUAAGCCUUCUGUUAAAGCUUCGGGCCCAACCCGGAAAGCGCAGAGGGUACUGCCAGGCUAGAGGGUGGGAGAGGAGCGCGGAAUUCCCG